UUAACUAUUAUAUAGUACUCUGACAUUAAAUGACUCAGGGUUUUGAUUCUCUGGCAGGCACUAACUAGCCAAGGCCAGUAGCACAGAGGCAGGCCUGCCAAAGCAACAAAGUAUGUAAACAUAGGGUGGGAGAUCUACCCCUUAAGGGCAAGUUCUCAGUAAUGAUCCUUCCGCAGGUUCACCUACGGAAA
This 191-nucleotide unclassified non-coding RNA is filed under the name uncultured fungus. Its description in RNAcentral is "sequence contains ITS1". The record is from RNAcentral. Lineage: Eukaryota; Fungi.